AUAGUGGCAAACGGGUGAGUAACACGUGGGUAAUCUACCUUUAAGUGGGGGAUAGCUUCGCGAAAGCGAAGGUAAUACCGCAUAAGACCACAGUCUGGAUUGCAGACAGAGGUCAAAGGCUUUUAGUCGCUUAAAGAGGAACCUGCGCCCUAUCAGUUUGUUGGUGAGGUAAAAGCUCACCAAGACUACGACGGGUAGCCGACCUGAAAGGGUGAUCCCCCACACUGGUACUGAGACACGGACCAGACUCC
RNAcentral lists this ribosomal RNA (251 nucleotides) under uncultured bacterium. RNAcentral's name for it is "partial 16S ribosomal RNA". It matches the Rfam family "Bacterial small subunit ribosomal RNA", at positions 92 to 339 of the family's 1533-position model. The record is from RNAcentral.